UAUUCCCCACAGAUACAGCUCUCCGGAUUCGGUAACAGCACAUGUUUGGUUAUCGCUGCAAGCCACUGAUCCAACCGCAACACCUUCGAGUGAUUCAACGCGUUUCGGAUGGUCGAUGUCAAGGUUAACUUUAAGUCCAAGCUUACCACUGUUUCCAUUGCCCCAACAAAACACUUCACCUUGUCUCGUAACCAGCGCAGCGUGUUUUGCACCAAGAGAAAUGCUUUGUACAUCAAACAUGGUGGCCGACUCUAAAAGCUGAGGAGAUAAAGCAUCGUUCUGAUUCUUUGAUCCCUCGAUAAGACCCCUUGUAGCUCCCCAUAUCAUUACGUCCUUGAGGACAUUGGAUCUUGCAGUUGGCUGAGUUACAGUGUGAGAGGGAGAAACAUAAAUGCUAAGCUCUGAACCUGUCUGGUCACAGUCCGACCUCCUGGAAUUAUAAUCUGCUUCGUAGUAAGGAGAAACUGGGCCGAGCCCAUCUGAACCAGCUGAUUCCAUGGAGUAGAAACUGUCUGAAGAGCCUGACAACCACAAACACCGUUCCUCAAGUAAUGUGGAUGGACUUGCACAUAAACUGCGUAUCUUCAAGAACAUAACAACACAGACAUCAAGAAACGAUACAAGGCAAGAACAGAGUUUUUUAGUUUACCUGAGUGAAGUCAGGGGUUUCUUCAAGAAGUCCAAGAUUCUGUUUCCUGUGGAUAAACCCCGCAGGGCUAUUGAUACAACUUUGAGCUCCCCUGCUUGUCCUUAGAUUCACAGAAGAUCUAGCAUUGUGGUGCUUCGUUAUCACAGCUCUAAGGCCUUUAAACCAAGAGCCUGGUGCAACAGUUAAAGUCCAUCCGCAUGAGACUUUAACGAAAUCUUGAUCAAUCAACUCCGAAACACAAGUCGGCACGAGCUUUCUCUUGCUGUCCACGUGACCUAACCUUCCUUUAUCUCCAUCUCCCCAAGUAAACAGCUUUCCACAACUCUUGGCUUUGUGAUAUUUCCUGUCGAUGGUGGAUGUUUCCACUAUUGCAGCCGUGUGCCACGGUCCACAAGAAACAGAUACUACCUUCAUUCGCUUCAAAGACUCCACUUCUUUUGGCUUUGUAACACUCUCAAGGCUCCCAUGUCCAAGAACUCCAAAGGUUCCACUACCGUAAGUGUAAAGCUGACCAGAAAAUGUCACAAUCGCUGUGUGCCACGCGCCGCAAGCGACACUGUAAACCCUCAAAGAUCUACCAAAGACAUCAGCUAUUUUCCGAGUUAAGAAUUGUCUUCCUGAUUCUCCAAUAGUUCCACCGUCUAUUCCCCACAGAUACAGCUCUCCGGAUUCGGUAACAGCACAUGUUUGGUUAUCGCUGCAAGCCACUGAUCCAACCGCAACACCUUCGAGUGAUUCAACGCGUUUCGGAUGGUCGAUGUCAAGGUUAACUUUAAGUCCAAGCUUACCACUGUUUCCAUUGCCCCAACAAAACACUUCACCUUGUCUCGUAACCAGCGCAGCGUGUUUUGCACCAAGAGAAAUGCUUUGUACAUCAAACAUGGUGGCC
RNAcentral lists this long non-coding RNA (1538 nucleotides) under Brassica napus (rape). RNAcentral's name for it is "long non-coding RNA (BNAP_LNC014033)". Lineage: Eukaryota; Viridiplantae; Streptophyta; Magnoliopsida; Brassicales; Brassicaceae. The record is from RNAcentral.